AGUGUCGAGUAAAUGUCGACGCGACAUAGAUGCAACAAAAAGCGCUCGAACGUCAGAAACACUAUAGAAAAAUCGGAAUCAUAAUCCGCGUGUCGGGGGUUCAAGUCCCUCCUCCGCUACCA
This 122-nucleotide transfer RNA is filed under the name Labrenzia sp. EL_142. RNAcentral describes it as "tRNA-OTHER". The record is from RNAcentral. Lineage: Bacteria; Pseudomonadati; Pseudomonadota; Alphaproteobacteria; Hyphomicrobiales; Stappiaceae.